ACGGACGAUAGUCUUCAGCGGCC
RNAcentral lists this microRNA (23 nucleotides) under Aedes aegypti (yellow fever mosquito). Its description in RNAcentral is "aae-miR-278-5p". Its record names the gene aae-miR-278-5p. Lineage: Eukaryota; Metazoa; Arthropoda; Insecta; Diptera; Culicidae. The record is from miRBase by way of RNAcentral.